GUGCUGCAAUAUAAAGUCUAUAACGACUCUCGGCAACGGAUAUCUCGGCUCUCGCAUCGAUGAAGAACGUAGCGAAAUGCGAUACUUGGUGUGAAUUGCAGAAUCCCGUGAACCAUCGAGUCUUUGAACGCAAGUUGCGCCCUAAGCCUUCUGGCCGAGGGCACGUCUGCCUGGG
This 175-nucleotide ribosomal RNA is filed under the name Arabis cf. pycnocarpa German B066. Its description in RNAcentral is "5.8S ribosomal RNA". The stretch from base 25 to 175 matches the Rfam family "5.8S ribosomal RNA". Rfam says of the family: 5.8S ribosomal RNA (5.8S rRNA) is a component of the large subunit of the eukaryotic ribosome. It is transcribed by RNA polymerase I as part of the 45S precursor that also contains 18S and 28S rRNA. The record is from RNAcentral. Lineage: Eukaryota; Viridiplantae; Streptophyta; Magnoliopsida; Brassicales; Brassicaceae.